Molecule: ribosomal RNA, 429 nt
Filed under: bacterium
Lineage: Bacteria
Description: partial 16S ribosomal RNA
Rfam family: Bacterial small subunit ribosomal RNA
Source: RNAcentral
UAGGGAAUCUUCUACAAUGGACGCAAGUCUGAUGGAGCAACGCCGCGUGAGUGAAGAAGGUUUUCGGAUCGUAAAGCUCUGCUGUUGGUGAAGAAGGAUAGAGGCAGUAACUGGUCUUUAUUUGACGGUAAUCAACCAGAAAGUCACGGCUAACUACGUGCCAGCAGCCGCGGUAAUACGUAGGUGGCAAGCGUUGUCCGGAUUUAUUGGGCGUAAAGCGAGCGCAGGCGGAAUGAUAAGUCUGAUGUGAAAGCCCACGGCUCAACCGUGGAGCUGCAUCGGAAACUGUCAUUCUUGAGUGCAGAAGAGGAGAGUGGAAUUCCAUGUGUAGCGGUGGAAUGCGUAGAUAUAUGGAAGAACACCAGUGGCGAAGGCGGCUCUCUGGUCUGCAACUGACGCUGAGGCUCGAAAGCAUGGGUAGCGAACAGG